CGAUUUCUCGACAUUGGUGCUCACUACGGGGACAAGCUGAAGCUCCCCAUUACAAAGCACAACAUAUGAAAAUCAAUAUGCGAAGCCCUGCACGAAUGCAUGAAGCUACAGGGCAAUUUCUGCCCCCUCACCCGUGA
Triticum dicoccoides is the source of this 137-nucleotide long non-coding RNA. RefSeq lists it as uncharacterized. NCBI's taxonomy places the organism in Eukaryota, Viridiplantae, Streptophyta, Magnoliopsida, Poales, Poaceae. The record is from RefSeq and is a predicted model, not a curated record. The transcript is spliced from 3 exons.